AGUCGAACGAUGAUCAGGAGCUUGCUUCUGUGAUUAGUGGCGAACGGGUGAGUAACACGUGAGUAACCUGCCCCUGACUCUGGGAUAAGCGUUGGAAACGACGUCUAAUACUGGAUACGACUUCCGGCCGCAUGGUCUGGUUGUGGAAAGAUUUUUUGGUUGGGGAUGGACUCGCGGCCUAUCAGCUUGUUGGUGAGGUAAUGGCUCACCAAGGCGACGACGGGUAGCCGGCCUGAGAGGGUGACCGGCCACACUGGGACUGAGACACGGCCCAGACUCCUACGGGAGGCAGCAGUGGGGAAUAUUGCACAAUGGGCGAAAGCCUGAUGCAGCAACGCCGCGUGAGGGAUGACGGCCUUCGGGUUGUAAACCUCUUUUAGUAGGGAAGAAGCGAAAGUGACGGUACCUGCAGAAAAAGCACCGGCUAACUACGUGCCAGCAGCCGCGGUAAUACGUAGGGUGCAAGCGUUGUCCGGAAUUAUUGGGCGUAAAGAGCUCGUAGGCGGUUUGUCGCGUCUGCUGUGAAAUCCCGAGGCUCAACCUCGGGCUUGCAGUGGGUACGGGCAGACUAGAGUGCGGUAGGGGAGAUUGGAAUUCCUGGUGUAGCGGUGGAAUGCGCAGAUAUCAGGAGGAACACCGAUGGCGAAGGCAGAUCUCUGGGCCGUAACUGACGCUGAGGAGCGAAAGCAUGGGGAGCGAACAGGAUUAGAUACCCUGGUAGUCCAUGCCGUAAACGUUGGGCGCUAGAUGUAGGGACCUUUCCACGGUUUCUGUGUCGUAGCUAACGCAUUAAGCGCCCCGCCUGGGGAGUACGGCCGCAAGGCUAAAACUCAAAGGAAUUGAC
Molecule: ribosomal RNA, 844 nt
Filed under: uncultured bacterium
Lineage: Bacteria
Description: bacterial SSU rRNA
Rfam family: Bacterial small subunit ribosomal RNA
Source: RNAcentral